AGAGUUUGAUCCUGGCUCAGAAUGAACGUUGGCGGCGUGGAUUAGGCAUGCAAGUCGAACGGGCCGCAAGGCCAGUGGCGCAAGGGUGAGUAAGGCGACGGUAACCAACCCCGCGGUUGGGCAUAGCCGAGGGAAACUUCGGGUAAUUCCCAGCGACGCGGCUUCCCGGCAUCGGGAGGCCGCCAAAGAUUGAUCGCCGUGGGACGGGCCGUUGUGGUAUUAGCUUGUUGGCGGGGUGACGGCCCACCAAGGCUACGAUGCCUACCGGGCGUGCGAGCGUGGCCCGGCACACUGGGACUGAGACACUGCCCAGACUCCUACGGGAGGCUGCAGUCGAGAAUCUUCGGCAAUGGGCGCAAGCCUGACCGAGCGACGCCGCGUGGAGGAUGAAGGCCUUCGGGUUGUAAACUCCUGUCGAGGGGGAGGAAGGCGCAAGCUUG
Molecule: ribosomal RNA, 440 nt
Filed under: uncultured bacterium
Lineage: Bacteria
Description: bacterial SSU rRNA
Rfam family: Bacterial small subunit ribosomal RNA
Source: RNAcentral